CCCCGCCCGCGCGCGCCCCCCCCCGGAGGGGGGGGCGCGGCGGGGGGGGGGGGGGGGGAGUCGAGGAGGGGCCGCGCCCGGUCCUCGCCCGCAGCGGGCACCGCCGGGGGCCCCGGGAGGCCUUGUUGGUAUUCCGGGCACAGCAGAAGCCCUGACCUCCCCGCGGAACAGGGGCGCCCGGGAGCGCGGCGCGGCCGCCGCCCCCGGGCGGUCUCCCCGGACUGCGGGGCCGUAGGCGCCUUGCUCCCCCUCCUCCCUGUCCCCUCCUCUCCAGGUCCCCCGUACCCCCUCCCCCGGCCUGAUCCGGCGGCGAAGGGGUGGGCAGGGAAACGCGCUCUCUGGGACAGGUGCCAACUCCGAGACAAAAGACAUAAAAUAGGCGGCAACGGGGGAAGCGCGGCCGGCGCGCUCGGGCGGGGACGGAGGCGCCGCGGGGGCCGCAUCCUCGGUGCCGACCGGGGAAAGUUUGGGAAGUCGCCGCGGCGGCUUCGCAGCGGCGGGGGACACGCGGGCCGGGCCGCCCUCCGCGCCGCGCUCGCCCUCUCCGCGCCGCUGCUGAAUAAUUCAUGGCGCGGCCGCCGGCCAUUAGCAUGCACCGGGCGCGCGGCGCGUCUGUGCCCAGCCGUCGCCGCCGCAUUCGGCGCCCCGGCCGCGCUAGACGAGCGGCCGCGCAGAGGCCGGGCCCGCGCCGUCCCCGCGCUCGCCCGCCCGUCCGCCCGUCCGCCCACCCGGCGGCUCCCAUUGUGCCCCAGGCCCGCGCCGCUCCGCCGUCCUGUGACCGCCUGCGCCCCGCAGCGCGCCCGACGGCCGGCCGCUGGAAGUUCGGGCCCGCGGCGCACGCCCUGCCGCCCCGGGAUGCACGUGAACUUGGAGAAAGUCUCGGGGCGCGCCGGCGCAGACCUCCGCGGCAGGGCGUGGGCGCCCCUGGCCCCGCGCGCUUUCGUUUUCGUCUGGGACAAAGGUCCCUCGCGGCGCAGGUCGCGGACGUGGAGGCAGUGCCCUGCGGGCCACUCAGCGGGGAGGUCCGGUCGUUCAGUCAAGGGAAGCCGGAGCCUGGAGAAGACGAGCCGCGCGGUCGGAGGCGCGGUGCGGGACCAGGACAGUGGGGCCUGGCCGUGCGCUUCGCCCUGGCGGUCCAGGAGCUGUCUCGCCCUCCGAAGAGUUACGGGAGGUGGCACUGCUUUUGCUCUCUGCCCUUUCGACACGUGAAGGAGAGAAUCAUUCGGAACCCAGGACUCAGACCGGUGGCCGAGGGCCUGUGCAGCCGCGAGCACGACAGCGCAGCGCUGGCCGCGUCCGCGCGCGUUCCUCCGACAAGGGCAGAGCAGUCGACCAGCGCGCCCCAGUCUCGAUCGGGUUCAAGGCGACUCUUGAGGACGGUGGCUGACACACGGGCCCAGCCGGCAGCCCUGGGGAAUUUGUGGGGAGCAAGAAAGGGGUGA
This 1442-nucleotide long non-coding RNA is filed under the name Sus scrofa (pig). Its description in RNAcentral is "lncRNA (ENSSSCG00050013234.1)". Lineage: Eukaryota; Metazoa; Chordata; Mammalia; Artiodactyla; Suidae. The record is from RNAcentral.